RNAcentral lists this ribosomal RNA (59 nucleotides) under Satsuma shigetai. RNAcentral describes it as "partial 28S rRNA". It matches the Rfam family "Eukaryotic large subunit ribosomal RNA", at positions 1 to 57 of the family's 3401-position model. The record is from RNAcentral. Lineage: Eukaryota; Metazoa; Mollusca; Gastropoda; Stylommatophora; Camaenidae.
UCCGACCUCAGAUCGCACAAGAUUACCCGCUGAAUUUAAGCAUAUCAAUAAGCGGAGGA